This 253-nucleotide ribosomal RNA is filed under the name uncultured bacterium. RNAcentral's name for it is "partial 16S ribosomal RNA". It matches the Rfam family "Bacterial small subunit ribosomal RNA", at positions 524 to 776 of the family's 1533-position model. The record is from RNAcentral.
UACGGAGGGUGCAAGCAUUAAUCGGAUUUAUUGGGCGUAAAGGGCGCGUAGGCGGAAGCGUAAGUCAGAUGUGAAAGCCCGGGGCUCAACCCCGGAACGGCAUUUGGUACUGCGUUUCUAGAGGGUAGGCGGAGAAAAUAGAAUUCCACAAGUAGCGGUGAAAUGCGUAGAUAUGUGGAAGAAUACCGGUGGCGAAGGCGGUUUUCUAGCUUAUACCUGACGCUGAGGCGCGAAAGCAAGGGGAUCAAACAGG